Molecule: ribosomal RNA, 429 nt
Filed under: Bacteroidota bacterium
Lineage: Bacteria; Pseudomonadati; Bacteroidota
Description: Bacteroidetes bacterium partial 16S ribosomal RNA
Rfam family: Bacterial small subunit ribosomal RNA
Source: RNAcentral
UAGGGAAUCUUCCGCAAUGGACGCAAGUCUGACGGAGCAACGCCGCGUGAGUGAAGAAGGAUUUCGGUUCGUAAAGCUCUGUUGUUAGAGAAGAACAGCGCAUAGAGUAACUGUUAUGCGUGUGACGGUAUCUAACCAGAAAGCCACGGCUAACUACGUGCCAGCAGCCGCGGUAAUACGUAGGUGGCAAGCGUUGUCCGGAUUUAUUGGGCGUAAAGCGAGCGCAGGCGGUCAAUUAAGUCUGAUGUGAAAGCCCCCGGCUCAACCGGGGAGGGUCAUUGGAAACUGGUUGACUUGAGUGCAGAAGAGGAGAGUGGAAUUCCAUGUGUAGCGGUGAAAUGCGUAGAUAUAUGGAGGAACACCAGUGGCGAAGGCGACUCUCUGGUCUGUAACUGACGCUGAGGCUCGAAAGCGUGGGUAGCAAACAGG